UACGGAGGGGGCGAGCGUUAUUCGGAAUUACUGGGCGUAAAGCGCACGUAGGCGGAUUGUUAAGUCGGGGGUGAAAUCCUGGAGCUCAACUCCAGAACUGCCUUCGAUACUGGCGAUCUCGAGUUCGGGAGAGGUGAGUGGAACUGCGAGUGUAGAGGUGAAAUUCGUAGAUAUUCGCAAGAACACCAGUGGCGAAGGCGGCUCACUGGCCCGAUACUGACGCUGAGGUGCGAAAGCGUGGGGAGCAAACAGG
RNAcentral lists this ribosomal RNA (253 nucleotides) under uncultured bacterium. RNAcentral's name for it is "partial 16S ribosomal RNA". It matches the Rfam family "Bacterial small subunit ribosomal RNA", at positions 524 to 776 of the family's 1533-position model. The record is from RNAcentral.